AACGAACGCUGGCGGCAUGCCUAACACAUGCAAGUCGAACGAGACCUUCGGGUCUAGUGGCGCAUGGGUGCGUAACGCGUGGGAACCUGCCCUUAGGUUCGGAAUAACUCUCCGAAAGGGGUGCUAAUACCGGAUAAUGUCUUCGGACCAAAGAUUUAUCGCCUUUGGAUGGGCCCGAGUUGGAUUAGCUAGUUGGUAGGGUAAAAGCCUACCAAGGCGUCGAUCCAUAGCUGGUCUGAGAGGAAGAUCAGCCACACUGGGACUGAGACACGGCCCAGACUCCUACGGGAGGCAGCAGUGGAGGAUAUUGGACAAUGGGCUGAAGCAUGAUCCAGCAAGGCCGCGUGAGUGAUGAAGGCCGUAGGGUAGUAAAGCUCUUUUACCCGGGAUGAUAAUGACAGUACCGGGAGAAUAAGCACCGGCUAACUCCGUG
Molecule: ribosomal RNA, 433 nt
Filed under: uncultured bacterium
Lineage: Bacteria
Description: partial 16S ribosomal RNA
Rfam family: Bacterial small subunit ribosomal RNA
Source: RNAcentral